AUCCUACGGUAUUACUGCAAGCGAGUGCAUUUGUGGCCUUGCGUCACCUUGAGCUCAGUAAAUGAAACAGGAAAUGCAGUGUUGCUUCUGCAAAAGGCGAUCAUAAGGAACAGUCAAAUCAAGCUACUAAUGAAAUCAAACCUUCAAGGACAUAUGUUGAAAAUUCCUGGACUCCCUGCCUAUAGCGAAAAUCGUGAAAGAUGACUAACGUGUUUUUGGAAAGAUUAGGGUAUCUGUUUUACAUCGUGAAUCCCAACAAAACAUCGUUUGAGACUGUAGAAGAAGUGCCUGAAUAUGUACCACAAGUUGUGCCUCACUUUUUCCUUCUCUUUCUUUUGGAAGUAUUGAUCAAUGCUUAUAAGAAGAAAUCUACUGUGAGAGUGAAUGAUGCAAUUGGGUCCAUAUCGCAAGGAAUGCUGCAGCAGCUCUCAAGG
Stegodyphus dumicola is the source of this 434-nucleotide long non-coding RNA. Lineage: Eukaryota; Metazoa; Arthropoda; Arachnida; Araneae; Eresidae. The record is from RefSeq and is a predicted model, not a curated record.